AGAGUUUGAUCAUGGCUCAGAUUGAACGCUGGCGGUAUGCUUAACACAUGCAAGUCGAACGGAAACGAUACUAGCUUGCUAGUAGGCGUCGAGUGGCGGACGGGUGAGUAACGCGUAGGAAUCUGCCUGAUAGUGGGGGAUAGCCCGAAGAAAUUCGGAUUAAUACCGCAUAAUCUAUUCGUAGUAAAGUGGGGGACUUUCGANCCUCACGCUAUCAGAUGAGCCUGCGUAAGAUUAGCUUGUUGGUGGGGUAAAAGCCCACCAAGGCGACGAUCUUUAGCUGGUCUGAGAGGAUGAUCAGCCACAUCGGGACUGAGACACGGCCCGAACUCCUACGGGAGNCANCAGUGGGGAAUAUUGGACAAUGGGGGCAACCCUGAUCCAGCAAUACCGCGUGUGUGAAGAAG
RNAcentral lists this ribosomal RNA (407 nucleotides) under uncultured bacterium. RNAcentral's name for it is "bacterial SSU rRNA". It matches the Rfam family "Bacterial small subunit ribosomal RNA", at positions 8 to 413 of the family's 1533-position model. The record is from RNAcentral.